GGCUCCCAGCGCGCGGGAGAAGCAGACAAAGGAGAAAAAAGAAGAAAAAAGAAGAAAACCCGCCGCUUUUCGCCCCCGCCGCCUGCAGCCGCCGCCGCCGCUUGUGGAGCAGCUAUCGCCGCGGGGGAAUCCGAGGCCCCUGACCGGACUCAGGACGCCCCCAGACCCCGAGCUCCCUCGCUGGAGGCUGCAGGAAGAUUCCCAGAGGGUCACAGAGGGCCCCAGUGUCCACAGACUCUGCCCAGACGGCGACCAGGACUCCACCGGGGGCCUGGGCCGUGCCCAGAGAGGCUUCAGACGCUGACCCCACGUCUCCCCUGUGCCCUCUGCUGGCCCAUGACCGGACUCAGGACGACCCCGGACCCCGAGAUCCCUUGCUGGAGGCUGCAUGAAGAUGCACAGAGGGCCACAGAGGGCCACAGAGCGUCCCAGUGUCCACAGACUCUGCCCAGACGGCGACCAGGACUCCACCAGAGGCCUGGGCCGUGC
Chionomys nivalis (European snow vole) is the source of this 489-nucleotide long non-coding RNA. RefSeq lists it as uncharacterized. The record is from RefSeq and is a predicted model, not a curated record. NCBI's taxonomy places the organism in Eukaryota, Metazoa, Chordata, Mammalia, Rodentia, Cricetidae. The transcript has 3 exons.